GAUUUAGUUACGGCUUUUUUGCAUUUCAGGUGACGAUAUGUAGUUUUCUGGAGGUCGGUAACUAAACUAUUUUGAAGCGACAUAUCGAAGAUAAAACGUUAUGUUCAACGUCGCAAAAUCAAGCAUACUUUUAGGCGCUCACAAAGGCUACGUAUUCAUAAAUAUUUAUGCUUGUGUGUGUUCGAGCUUUAAUAAUUGCAGCAGGGCUGCUUUUUAUUCAAGAAUAUCUAGGGUUCUAGAUAAAAAAAAAAAAACAUUGGACAACAACGGCGAUAGAAUGUGUUGGAGACCAACAAAAUAUUUUCGUUCUAUUUGUUAUUUGCUCUCAAAACGAACGCAAUGCGAAUACGUUCGAAAGCAAUUUUCUGUAUUAUUAUAGAGCCACAUGCAGUUGAGUAUCAGGAAAGGAGGAGGGGUGUCUCUCGAACACACGCUUGAAUGCAAAAUCGGAAAUAAUUAAAAAAAAAUUAAAUUUUCAGAUUGCAUAGUUUUGUCUUUCGUACAAACUUUAUUAUUUGUUGUUCCUCUCAACUCAUGUAAGGUAUCUCCAAGUGAGCUGCUCUUCUCAGAGGGAAAUCGAUCGGUUAUACUUUACGAUGACCUCUAGCACGAAUCGUAUUUUUGUGUGCACUAGGGUGUAGCACCACCCCACAAAAAACUUGAUUUUGUUUUUCCAAAUUUUGAGACUUCCGCUAACAAAUUUAGGAAAAAUAUUAAGGUUUACCUGAGCUGGAUCUAUUUGAAAAUACCUUCGAAAAUCGAGUCUUUUAUAAAUAAAAUUAGUUCUUAAAAUAUCUUUUCUAAACAAUCAGCUCAGUGAUAGAAGAGUUUAAGUUUAAAAAGUAUUUUCAAAUCUUUAAUUUUUUCCGAAAUUGCAACACCGUCCAGUAGCAAUUAACCGUGAUGUACAAUUAGCAGAUCUUUGGUUAAAUGCAACAGUAGCUAAUUAAGCAAACUUUUACUAAACCGCCAGAUUUUAGCUAUCCGAAAUUUGUUCACUCAAUUUGAAAAUUCUAUGAAAUCAGCUGAUAAUUUAUUUGCGUGAACCCGGUUGUAAGAGUUUUAAAAAAAUUUCCAGGGUCGUUGUAUAUUAUGAAGUUGAGUUGAAAAAGAGUUGCAUUAAAAGAGAACUGUUACUAGUGUAUUUUCGAAUUUCCAAGCAUAAAUGUUGCUUCACCAAUAAACCGAUGUUUUCAUUUAGCCAAGGUCUGAAAUAACCGAUGGAAUUUGUGUAUGAAAAAGCUAAAAUAAAAUUGGGGUCAGAUUUUCCGUGCCAAUUAAAAAGAGUUCAACUAGCCGGUUUCGACUGUAAUUCCGGUAGAAAAACUGCAACUAGAUUUGGUGGUACACCCUAAUGUACAUACAUAUUUUAUCAUGUAUAUCAACGCGGCGCACUUACAAAUAAAUUUAUGCGCCAAAAGUAAAGUGAUAGAAGUUUAAUUUUGGGAUUUAAUUUUCAACAAAAAAAGCAAACGAAAAAAAUUUAUUGCACUCAGUUUUGAUGCUAAAGUUGUUGUAUUUGAAUACCACAAAAAAUCAAUGACAGCGAAGUAAGAUAUCAAAUUGGCUGCAGCGGCUCAACAUACACCCAAAGAGACAUACAGACACGCAUACACUAAAGUGCUGUAGCCAAAAAAACAUAUCUGGAGUUAAGCCAUUUAUGCUUGCAUUGAUUUUUGAAAACAAAAAUAUUUUAUAUAAACUUUAAUGUACUCGUACAUAUGUAUUUAUCUUAUACUCGUACACAUUUUCUGUUAAAAAAAAUGUUAAUUAUUUCGAAAGCAAGUAAAAAAUGCAAAAAAGUGCAAAUACUAAAGCGAUCAGCGAUCAGAGAUGCUGCAUAUUGCAGUGAAGUGCGUGCAAAAAAUUCCAUUUAAACUUACAUUUAAUAAACAAAAAAAAAAAACUUACAUAUAUACAUAGAUACAUACAACAUACACAUGCAUUCAUACAUAUUACACACAUAUAAACACUUACUACACAAUUCGCUAAUAUUUAACACUAAUUAAUACAAAUCAAACAAAAAAUAAACAAAAACACAAAAUACAAAAAAAAAA
This is a long non-coding RNA of Rhagoletis zephyria (snowberry fruit fly), 2057 nucleotides long. RefSeq lists it as uncharacterized. The record is from RefSeq and is a predicted model, not a curated record. NCBI's taxonomy places the organism in Eukaryota, Metazoa, Arthropoda, Insecta, Diptera, Tephritidae.